CCUACUCUCCUUAAAAAUCUCCAACAAAAUACUUUGUUAACUCUAUUUAUACUUUUCCUCCCACAAUCUCAACAACCUAUCGCUCCUGCAGUUUUCUUCCCUUCCAACAAAGUUGAGAGGAAAAAAAAAUCGAGCAGCCUGUCUGUGAACCCAAAUCCUCCCUGCAAAUCUCAAUUUGUUCUCCUCUUUCCAAAGGUUGAGCGGUGACGAGCGCGGUGGGUGUUGAGCAUAAAAGUGAAGAAU
Long non-coding RNA from Salvia splendens (bonfire salvia), 243 nucleotides. RefSeq lists it as uncharacterized. The transcript has 3 exons. Lineage: Eukaryota; Viridiplantae; Streptophyta; Magnoliopsida; Lamiales; Lamiaceae. The record is from RefSeq and is a predicted model, not a curated record.